This 1738-nucleotide long non-coding RNA is filed under the name Olea europaea subsp. europaea. Lineage: Eukaryota; Viridiplantae; Streptophyta; Magnoliopsida; Lamiales; Oleaceae. The record is from RNAcentral.
AGGGUGUUAAUUAAGAAUUAUUAAUUUAUUUAAUACAGGUUUAUUGGCACCCCCCAAAUUCAUUUCUCUCCCUCAUCUUUCUCACUCUUUACACAUUCCCACCCAUUCCUCGAACCCUAAUCCAUUUUAUCUUAUCGUCUCUCUCUCUCACAACAAUCAAAAGACAAUGAUUGGAGACCACUGGAGCGACGAAAGGCUACAAUGAUGACGUCACUGUGGUGGCGUGAGCGCCAUUGCACCUACCGUGCGGAGUGCGUAGGGGUGAUGAUGUCGCUACACGUCGAGUGAGCGCAUCUCCGUGAUUUGGGAAAAAUUUGUUGGGACGAGACCUGCGGAGAAUCUGGAGGCUUGAGUAGUGGUGCGCAUCCACUUUGAUACCGGAAGAUCUUUUUUUUUUUUUUUUAGUUUAAUCUCACAGAUGCUAUGGAGUCAUAGUUAUGGUGAUCGAUUGUUUUUUUUCUUUUGCUUUUUGAAGAGGUUUGGGAUGAUGAUCGCAGCUACACGAAUCAGGCAGUGGCAGUAGCAGAGAUGGUGCGAUGGUGGAAUUCAGAUGAUGCGAUGUGUUGAUGUACUGUGUAGUCAAUACGGUGAUGGUGUUUGCAGUUGUUGAUGGUGAUGCAGAUACAGGUGGUGGUGAUGAUGGGUUUGGAUUUGAUGUAGAGGUGGUGGUGGUGGGUUGUUUGUGGUUAUGGAUUGAGGUACAAGUGGUGGCGAUGGUGCUCGUGGCAUAGGAACUACUUUGCUAGUGGUGAUAUAUCUAAGGUUGUAUGUCGCAUAUCUAUUGUUGGAUUUUUCACAUAGUGGAAGUGGUAUGGUGAUAGCAUUGGUGGUGGUUAGGAUUUGUUGAAAGUGAUGGUAGUGCGCAUUUGAUUGACAUUGUUGGGAGUGGUGGUAGCGACGACGAAAAUCGAGUGUGACAAAGUCUAUUUUCAUUGUGACUAUCUGUGACCAGAUCUAUAAUAACUAUAGUUGUAUGUGACUUGAUUACAUAUAGUCACAAAUUAGACUAAUAUUGUCACAGGUAGUUACAUUGAAGACAAAAUUGAUCACAAAUAGUCACAGAUAACAAAGGUCAGUAAAUGUAAUAAAGUUGGAGGUGAAGUGGUAGUAACUGGUGGUGGAUUGUUGUACUGGGCUACGGUGUGUGAAAAUUUGUUUAUGGUAACUCUUUGAGGUCAAAUAUGUGUUUAUUGUGAUAGUUGUGACUAAUUCUGUAUUAAUUGUGACCGAUUGUGACUUGAUCACAUACCACCAUUGUAAAUAUUGAAUUGGUCACAGACAGUCUCACUGAAUACAAAUUUGGUUACAAUUAGUCACAGACAACACAUGUCAGUAACACAAUGACUUGGUCACCGACGGUCUGGUCAUAGUUAAUCAGAUAAUAUAGUAUAAUCACAAGCUAUAAAUCUGGUUACAUAUAGCACAAUUAAUCACAAAACUUGUCAACUACAAUAUAACACUACUACCACCACACAGUACUCAAAACGUUGCUAACACCUCACCCCCACUACUAUCGAACAGAUUAACUGCAGUGCAACUUCAUUACCUCCAAUGCAUUAUCUUUGCAACCAUACAGAUAUAUUUUUUUUAAAAUACAGUACCACCUCACCAUCACCACCAUUUGUAAAAAAAUUUGUGUUUGAAAAUGUGUAUAGAGAGAGAAGACGAUUUUUAAUUUUUGGAGUUGCUGGAGCGAUCAUCAGAACGAUCGUCGAAGUGAUCAUCAGAACGAUUGUCG